CGGACGGGUGAGUAACGCGUGAGAACCUACCCUUAGGAUGGGGACAACAGUUGGAAACGACUGCUAAUACCCGAUGUGCCGAGAGGUGAAAGAUUUAUCGCCUAGGGAAGGGCUCGCGGCUGAUUAGCUAGUUGGUAAGGUAAAGGCUUACCAAGGCGACGAUCAGUAGCUGGUCUGAGAGGAUGAGCAGCCACACUGGGACUGAGACACGGCCCAGACUCCUACGGGAGGCAGCAGUGGGGAAUUUUCCGCAAUGGGCGAAAGCCUGACGGAGCAAUACCGCGUGUGGGAGGAAGGCUCUUGGGUUGUAAACCACUUUUCUCAGGGAAGAAUAGAUGACGGUACCUGAGGAAUAAGCAUCGGCUAACUCCGUGCCAGCAGCCGCGGUAAUACGGAGGAUGCAAGCGUUAUCCGGAAUCAUUGGGCGUAAAGCGUCCGCAGGUGGCCUAUCAAGUCUGCUGUCAAAGCGCAGAGCUCAACUCUGUAAAGGCAGUGGAAACUGAUAAGCUAGAGUUCGGUAGGGGUAGCGGGAAUUCCCAGUGUAGCGGUGAAAUGCGUAGAUAUUGGGAAGAACAUCGGUGGCGAAGGCGCGCUACUGGGCCGAAACUGACACUGAGGGACGAAAGCUAGGGGAGCGAAUGGGAUUAGAUACCCCAGUAGUC
RNAcentral lists this ribosomal RNA (662 nucleotides) under uncultured cyanobacterium. RNAcentral describes it as "bacterial SSU rRNA". It matches the Rfam family "Bacterial small subunit ribosomal RNA", at positions 99 to 795 of the family's 1533-position model. Lineage: Bacteria; Bacillati; Cyanobacteriota. The record is from RNAcentral.